AGAACGAACGCUGGCGGCAUGCCUAACACAUGCAAGUCGAACGAGACCUUCGGGUCUAGUGGCGCACGGGUGCGUAACGCGUGGGAAUCUGCCCUUGGGUUCGGGAUAACAGUUGGAAACGACUGCUAAUACCGGAUGAUGUCUUCGGACCAAAGAUUUAUCGCCCAAGGAUGAGCCCGCGUAGGAUUAGCUUGUUGGUGAGGUAAGAGCUCACCAAGGCGACGAUCCUUAGCUGGUCUGAGAGGAUGAUCAGCCACACUGGGACUGAGACACGGCCCAGACUCCUACGGGAGGCAGCAGUGGGGAAUAUUGGACAAUGGGCGAAAGCCUGAUCCAGCAAUGCCGCGUGAGUGAUGAAGGCCUUAGGGUUGUAAAGCUCUUUUACCCGGGAUGAUAAGGACAGUACCGGAGAAGUAACGCCCGGCUAACGUCCGCGACCAGCAGCCGC
Molecule: ribosomal RNA, 448 nt
Filed under: uncultured soil bacterium
Lineage: Bacteria
Description: bacterial SSU rRNA
Rfam family: Bacterial small subunit ribosomal RNA
Source: RNAcentral